GAGAGAGAGAGAGAGAGAGAGAGAGAGAGAGAGCUAGGCUUCUAUGCUUUCGAAAGUACGGAAGCCUCCGUACUUAUAAGUUGUUUUCAAUAAUGGGACAUCUGAUUCGGCGAUCGGUUCCGUUAGACAUGAUCUACGCUAUUAGAACUACCUAGAAAUCAAAUUUCAUAAAUUUUUGACUUCGUUUGUCUAGUAAAUGAGUAGCCUAAAAAAGAACGGCUGAAAAUAAAAAUUUCAUAAAAAACAGUGAUAAAGGACUCAAAUUUCAAAUCGGAAGUAUUGGUCUUGCUAUUGAUGUUAAGUAGAAUUUUCUAUUAAAUUUUCAUCUAAUUUGGAUACUUCUACACCUUGAACUCAAAAACGUGCCACAUCGGCCGUUAAAAUAGUCAUUUUUGAGACAUUUUGAUCACUUGGUAAAUGACGUCAAAAAAUUAUAAAAUUUGGUUUCUAAAUAAUU
This 457-nucleotide long non-coding RNA is filed under the name Ananas comosus (pineapple). Its description in RNAcentral is "long non-coding RNA (ACOM_LNC018309)". Lineage: Eukaryota; Viridiplantae; Streptophyta; Magnoliopsida; Poales; Bromeliaceae. The record is from RNAcentral.